UCAUAUAACAAUUCAGUUUAUUUUAUUUAUUUUCCAGACAGACACAUCGAUUUCUGGACCACAGUAGAGGAUGGAAACCUUUCACAGACAUUUUUUUGUCAAUAUUAUUAUUUGAAAAUACAAAUAUAAAAUUAGACUUUCCACAUUUGAUAUGUGAGAGACCCCCAUCCAUUAUUAUUAUCAUUAUUAUUUUAGUAUAUUUUACAACAGGGCUUGAGCAAGCCAUAUGAUAACCUGAAAGAUGCUUUCAGAUGUCAGUCAAGUCUGUCUGUCUCUCGCCAUAAAAAGUCGGUUAACAUAAAAAAAAGGGGCAAGUGUUAGGAAUGGGCAGACAGCGGUGGAGAGAGCUCUGCGCUCAGCCUGCGGAGACACGGCAGAGCCUCACACUGCCGGCCGUGCAGUCUGAAGAGCCUCCGGACACCCCUCGUGGCCGUGCGGUCCACUCCAACCGCGACAACACGCCGGGGGAGAACUCGCAUGAUGGUGAACCAAUAAUGAUGAAUGGACUAAAUGAACUUGGGUGCGGCUGUGUGACGAGGAUUAUUCUGUAUACAGCUGAGGUCUCCAGUCUAAUAUUAUUCAGUUCAAAUGAGCGUGAAUUGCAAGUAUAUAUAUUUAUCUAUAUACAUAUAUAUUGCAAUUAUAUGUAUAUAUUUGGCGAUGAGCAUGGCGUGAGAUGGCAAUGGUUUGGACUGGAGGGGAAGUUCACCCCAAAAACACAGUAGUACUGGCGAACUUGUGCCAUUUCCGUCACCUUGAAGAGUUCAGUCCAGAUUUGUGAACAUGAACUGAUCUUUGAUACAUCGAGCCAAAAAAACUGUAAAUAGCGUUGUUAGUGAGAGUCACUUUGUGAACUGGCCGGAGACCUAACUUUGUGUUCACUGUGACGGUAUCCAGUAUCUCUCAGAGAUAAGGGCACACUGUCUGGUUUUUUGCUUUUUCAAAAAAACCAUUAGCACCACUAUGAGUAAGCCUCUUUUUGGAUAAAAAUGCUCAAGAACAUUCAAUGAGCCUUCAAAGUCUGUCUGAUUCAUUGCAAAUGGAGCAGAGCCUGAAAAGCCUGGUGUUCCAGCUUUUAGGAAACUUUUGUUCAUAUUCAGAAAACGCUUGUGAACCCAGGAUGACAGAAAUCCCAUAAGUGCGUAUGGUUUCAGGGUGGGAUCCCCCCCCACCCCCACCUCGAACUGAUGGGGUUUAUUGUUUGGCCAUUGCCUAGCACUUGCCUCAAGAUUCAAGUUUAAAUGGAUACGGUAGUACACUACAAAUGUCAACACCUUCCAGGUUGACUUUUUUUCUUUUUUGAUUAUUUUUUUUUCUUAAACCAAGUCCCCUCCCCUCUCCCCAAAUGGAUAAGCUAGUCUACUAAGAUGUGUAACAUUCAUCAGCUGUAAACUGCUGUCAGUUUGAGAUAAAACGAAAUUACAGCAACAGAGCCAUGCUACCUUAAAGUCCAAGCUACAGGAUCACAAAACAAUAGAAGAGUCAAUUUUGAUAUUGUGUGAGGGAAAACAAGCCAUUUCAAGCCUUCUUUCCAGUGAAAAAGGGUUAAUUAUAGACUAAGAGACAACAGGCACCGCAACAGCACAGCAGCAGUGCGUGUGCACUGCUCGGGUAUAUGCUGUUUGGAUAAAACGCCAUGAAAACUGGAACGCGACUGGGUUGUGUUUGAGUUAAUUAUACAAUUAAAUUUUUCAAUGAACAGGAGGAACAAUUUCUUUAUUACUUUAAGA
This is a long non-coding RNA of Oreochromis aureus, 1730 nucleotides long. The record is from Ensembl. Lineage: Eukaryota; Metazoa; Chordata; Actinopteri; Cichliformes; Cichlidae.